CGGAACACGUACGCAACCUUCCCAUAACUGGUGAAUAGCCCUCCGAAAGGAGGAUUAAUACACCGUAACAUAAUGAAGUGGCAUCACUUUAUUAUUAUAGGCAGCAAUGUCGGUUUUGGAUGGGCGUGCGCCUGAUUAGGUAGUUGGCGGGGUAACGGCCCACCAAGCCUACGAUCAGUAACUGGUGUGAGAGCACGACCAGUCACACGGGCACUGAGACACGGGCCCG
This 229-nucleotide ribosomal RNA is filed under the name uncultured bacterium. Its description in RNAcentral is "partial 16S ribosomal RNA". It matches the Rfam family "Bacterial small subunit ribosomal RNA", at positions 109 to 334 of the family's 1533-position model. The record is from RNAcentral.